RNAcentral lists this transfer RNA (85 nucleotides) under Felis catus (domestic cat). It matches the Rfam family "tRNA". From Rfam's summary of the family: Transfer RNA (tRNA) molecules are approximately 80 nucleotides in length. The record is from Rfam by way of RNAcentral. Lineage: Eukaryota; Metazoa; Chordata; Mammalia; Carnivora; Felidae. RNAcentral also lists the same sequence under 2 other names.
GCCUGGGUGGCUCAGUCGGUUGAGCGUCCGACUUCAGCUCAGGUCAUGAUCUCACAGUUUGUGGGUUCGAGCCCCGCGUCAGGCU